Molecule: ribosomal RNA, 425 nt
Filed under: uncultured Alphaproteobacteria bacterium
Lineage: Bacteria; Pseudomonadati; Pseudomonadota; Alphaproteobacteria
Description: bacterial SSU rRNA
Rfam family: Bacterial small subunit ribosomal RNA
Source: RNAcentral
CUUAACCCCGGAACUGCUUUUGAAACUGCUUUUCUAGAAUCCGACAGGGGUUGACGGAAUUCCGAGUGUAGAGGUGAAAUUCGCAGAUAUUCGGAGGAACACCAGUGGCGAAGGCGGUCAACUGGGUCGGUAUUGAUGCUGAGGUACGAAAGCGUGGGGAGCGAACAGGAUUAGAUACCCUGGUAGUCCACGCCGUAAACGAUGUGUGCUAGUUGUUGGGGCCUUGAUGCCUCGGUGACGCAGCAAAAGCAUUAAGCACACCGCCUGGGGAAUACGAUCGCAAGAUUAAAACUCAAAGGAAUUGACGGGGACCCGCACAAGCGGUGGAGCAUGUUGUUUAAUUCGACGCAACGCGAAGAACCUUACCACCCCUUGACAUCCUGGUCGCGGGGGGCAGAGACGCCCUCUUUCAGUUCGGCUGGACC